GGUUGUGUAGUGUAGCGGUUAUCACUCCGGAUUCUGAUGUCUUUUAGAAGCAUUCCGGCAACCCCGGUUCGAUUCCGGGCACGACCU
Molecule: transfer RNA, 87 nt
Filed under: Bimuria novae-zelandiae CBS 107.79
Lineage: Eukaryota; Fungi; Ascomycota; Dothideomycetes; Pleosporales; Didymosphaeriaceae
Rfam family: tRNA
About the family: Transfer RNA (tRNA) molecules are approximately 80 nucleotides in length. Their secondary structure includes four short double-helical elements and three loops (D, anti-codon, and T loops).
Source: Rfam by way of RNAcentral